This is a long non-coding RNA of Silurus meridionalis, 3043 nucleotides long. RefSeq lists it as uncharacterized. The record is from RefSeq and is a predicted model, not a curated record. NCBI's taxonomy places the organism in Eukaryota, Metazoa, Chordata, Actinopteri, Siluriformes, Siluridae. The transcript has 2 exons.
GGAGCAAGUGAAAGAGAGAGGGAGUAAGAUAGACAGAAUAAGACAGGCAGAAGGACAGACUCAGAGAAAAGUGUUUCAGUUUCAUCAACACCUACUGUUGCAAAUGUAACACUCUAAGAGGGGGCAGUUAGUGAUUAAAGGGGGAAUGCCCUUUCUUUGUGUGUCUCCAUCACCUGCUACAAUAACACUCCUCAUCCAGUAGCAGACACCACUGUCCUGCACAUUACAUUACAAAAGAACUACAGACAUUUUCAUUACCCAGGCUGACAGUCUGCGUACACUGAGCAACUGGAUGGUGGGCUUCAGGGGUGGGGUGUUGGGAACUCAAGAGCAGCCUUUCAGCCCACAUUUGUUAUUUAUUGUUAAUUUCCCAGCACAUAAUCAUCCAAAAAUGCAAACUGACUGCAGCAAAAUUAAGCAGAAAAUUAGAUGGCCCUGGGUCAUGGAGGAUGCGGGUGUUUGGCAUAGCCAGCUGAUUGGCGCUCGUGUUCACUCUAAUUUACUGAGCAUGCAUGGGUAAGCCCGGCAGCCCGGCUCUCUUUCUCUCUUUCUCUCUAUCACUCGUACACGCUCACACGGGCAAGCUGUAGACAUAAACAAAAGGUGAAGUGGACACAGCAAUGGAGAGAGAAAGAGAGAGGGGUGACAGAGAGAGGAAGAAAAACAGGGGGAGUAAAUGAAAGAGAGAGCUCAAGAAAGAGAGGAAGUAUGAAAGAAGGGGAAUGAGAGAAGAAGGAAAAAAUUAAAAUGUCAAACGAAUGACACAAGUAAGAAGAUUUAAGUGUGAGAAAAAGACAAAGGGGAAAGAAAGGAGUGUUUGAGAAUGCAAGGCAAAAUGAGCAGUGCUUCCUCUGGCCAGGCCUGCAUAUCGAAGGAGUCACCAGUGCGCAUGGCCCCAUUAAUAAUGCAGGGUCCCGUCAGGCCUUGCAGCAGAUGGGCACAACAGCCUCGGCCUUCUCGCUGCCACUUCAAGACGCUCCCACUGGAGGUCCGCACCCGGCCCUGCAGUCACGCAGGGAGAAGUGAAGCUCCCGAAAAUAGCCAAGCAAGCUGAAGCGCGCCCCUGGGAGAAGGGGAACCUAGGCCUUCCUGUUUUCACUGACAGAUGGCUCCACACAUUUGGAACAAAUACCGGGAAACAAGUUUUUGAUCCGUAUGUCACAAGACUUUAGCGUUUCUGUGGAUGACUCCACAGCAGUAUGCACUCCCUAAUUAGAUUAAAUUAGAUUAGGUGUUUUUCUAGAGAAGAGGUGUGCUUGUGUACUGCAAUGUAAGUUAAAGGUUAGACUUGUUCAGUGUGAUUAUGUGCCGAUCUUCGAUUCUCGACACUUAGGCUUUUUGUCAGGACAACAUUUCUGAAUACGUGCAUGUGUGUGAAAGUGUGCGGGUGUGUUUAAGUGUAUUUUGUCAGUAUUCCUAUUGUGCCCCCUCUGCUGAGUAGCUAUUGCAAAGGGAAAUAUUGAUGCUGUGGAUAAAGGAGGGGGUGGAGACAUUAAUACAUCUCAUGAUGGCAGAUUCCUCAGUACUGGUGUAGGUCUGGAAAUUGUGUGUCAAUACGUCUAUGAUUAUGUAUACAAAAUUUAUGCGCUUUUUUGUUUUUUUUUAUUUCAAAACUGUUUGUAAUACGUUUUUUUUUUUUUCAUUUAAUAAUAUAUUUUCGAAAUGUUAAUUCCAGAAAAAAAGGUAGAAAUGACAGAGCAGAUUGAAAUUUUAAUAUUUCAUAUGAGCUGUCUAUAAAAAAAAACAUACAUAAGUAAAUAUGAGUUAGCCAGUAAAUGUGAGCCAAGUUUCCUUAAAGUUUUAGUUUUCAAAUUACGGAGCACAUCUCCGCCUAACGAAGAUUUCUAUCUACCCUGCUUCUGGGAAACCUGGCCAAAAAAUUUAGGUUUGACUACACACAUUUUUGAACUGUAGGCGUCAAUCAUAAUUUAUGUACUUCAGUUCAUAUUUUACUGGAAAUGUGUACAAACAGAUAUAUUUUUUAUUCAUAGUACAUUUCAUAUCAUAGGGGCAGAGACUCAAAAAUAUCAUGUCUUAAUGAUGUGAAGACAUUUCAGAGAAAAUGAAGUUUAUCAUGUAAAUUAGUGUGCUGGUGCUAGUCAACAAGUUGCUCUAAACACAUCAUAUGCUCAGAAGAGACAGUUAAUAAAAUGUUUUGGCUGUGAUAUAACCCUUUUAGAUUACUGCUUAACCACUAGGAACAUUUUGUUAUACUGUUUUUAUGCUGCUCUCCUGCUCUUGUAUGUGUGAAUGUGUAGAGAUAAGAUGACUUCACUUCUGUAGCACAUUUGACAGGUAACUUUGCUGAGAGUAAGGAGACAUAGUGGCGUUUGCAUAUGUGAACCUACAGAGACACAGAGAGUGUGUGUGUUUGCACUGAAGAGCAAAGCAGCGCAACAAAUAAGCUCAAGCAGAGCAGGGUGGAGACUGUGAGGUGCAAAACCGUUAAACAGACAAAAUGACAUUGCUCAGGUCAGAGGAUUACAGAGAAACUGCGUGCACUUCUGGAAAAAUAAAGAGCUACAAGCAUCGCAGAGAUGAUGGGAAUGGGUGGUCUUCUGAGCUAAAAUAUUACUAACAUUUAUAAUUAGCUGUGGGGUGGUGGGGGAGCAAACUUAGUAACCCAGGAAGGGUAGGAAUAACUUCUUCUCUGACUGACUGGUCUUGCAUCAGUGGGGAUUUCAGCAGAGUACUGGACGAGCUGAUCUCUGUCAGUGUGAGAUGAUGAUGAUGAUGAGCUGCAGCUCACAGCUUUCACUCAAAUAAAACUCCAGCACAGACUCAUUUACAUCUGCUCCACUUCACUACACUGGCCCUCAAAAACUUCAGCUCUUCUCUCUCUCUCUCUCUCUCUCUCUCUCUCUCUCUCUCUCUCUCUCUCUCUCUUUUCUUACUCUACAUUAAUUUUUUUUCACAUUUUUUUAUUUGUAUUUGUUAUGUAUAUUAUGUAAAAAUAUAUUAUUACCCAUGCCAUCCUAUAAGUUUGUGUAAGGAUGAGUGCGGAAAUUCAUGAGGAGAUAUGAAAUACAGCAAAUUACCAUUA